This 104-nucleotide small nuclear RNA is filed under the name Salvator merianae (Argentine black and white tegu). The record is from RNAcentral. Lineage: Eukaryota; Metazoa; Chordata; Lepidosauria; Squamata; Teiidae.
GUGCUUGCUUCAGUGGCACAUAUACUAAAAUUGGAAUGAUACAGAGAAGAUUAGCAUGGCUCCUGCACAAAAAAAUAAUAAUACAAGCUUUAUGAGAAAAUUUA